CAGCCGUCGCCGCAGCCGCGCCAGCCUUCGCCGCAGCCCGUCUCCAACGAGCCCAAGACGUACGCCAACCUGUUCAAGGCCUCCUCCGGGCGCCCCGCGCCGCCCCGGCCCGCCGAGAAGGAGCAGUCUCCGCCCAGCCGCCCGGCGGUGCCGCGCCCGGCGCCGGCCGCCGC
Molecule: long non-coding RNA, 173 nt
Organism: Pollicipes pollicipes
Lineage: Eukaryota; Metazoa; Arthropoda; Thecostraca; Pollicipedomorpha; Pollicipedidae
Exons: 3
Source: RefSeq, a predicted model, not a curated record